This 520-nucleotide ribosomal RNA is filed under the name uncultured bacterium. Its description in RNAcentral is "partial 16S ribosomal RNA". It matches the Rfam family "Bacterial small subunit ribosomal RNA", at positions 28 to 523 of the family's 1533-position model. The record is from RNAcentral.
GACGAACGCUGGCGGCGUGCCUAAUACAUGCAAGUCGAGCGGGCCUCCGGAGGUGCUUGCACCUCCGGAAGGCCAGCGGCGGACGGGUGAGUAACACGUGGGCAACCUGCCUUUGAGGCCGGGAUAACACCGGGAAACCGGUGCUAAUACCGGAUACGUCCUCUUUCGCGCCUGCGAGAGGGGAGAAAGACGGUCUUUAAGGCCGUCGCUCAAAGAGGGGCCCGCGGCGCAUUAGCUGGUUGGUGGGUAAGGGCCUACCAAGGCGACGAUGCGUGGCCGACCGGAGAGGGUGAUCGACCACACUGGGACUGAGACACGGCCCAGACUCCUGCGGGAGGCAGCAGUAGGGAAUCAUCCGCAAUGGGCGAAAGCCUGACGGUGCAACGCCGCGUGAGUGAGGAAGGUUUUCGGAUCGUAAAGCUCUGUUGUGAGGGAAGAACAGCUUCCGGAGGAAAUGCCGGAGGUUUGCCGGUACCUCACCAGAAAGCCCCGGCUAACUACGUGCCAGCCGCCGCCGUAA